Molecule: long non-coding RNA, 876 nt
Organism: Frankliniella occidentalis (western flower thrips)
Lineage: Eukaryota; Metazoa; Arthropoda; Insecta; Thysanoptera; Thripidae
Exons: 3
Source: RefSeq, a predicted model, not a curated record
AGCUGACGCUCUCAAACACACUUUCAACUGUUUCCCUCCCCCAAAACUCCUAACCUUUUCAUGGCGAAUACAAAUUCGUUUUAUAGUUUCCAAAUUGACGGAGAAGGCUAAAAAACAAGUUUCCUCAAGAGAUAUUUCACAUGUAAAUAUUGCAAGGUACUUGUUUGUCAGGUAUGUUGUCCUGAAACCGAAGUUGUUUUUACAUGCCAUACUGACUUUACAUAUUGGACUUAUGAUGGAUCAAGAUUAAUGGUGAAAGUUGAGGUGGUUAUGUCGAGUUUGAGGUAUUCAUGGAGCAUCAUGUCUUGUGAAGUUAUUUAGAGAGAUAAAUUUAUAAUAAUUUGGAAGAUCAUUGCAUUGACUUCGUCCAAUGCAAAUUUAUGUCAUUAAGGUACAGUGCCUGAACAUUCUGACUUGUCUAUUUUCUUCCGAGAUGUUAUCUGGUGCGAGAGAGGUGCAAAUAGAAAUCUCAAACCUUUAGAAAGCGGAAAGAGGGCAGGUGGUGAGUGCCAUGCGGAAGGUUCAAUAAAAUUGCUUCUAGUCUUCAAAUGUUUAUAAGGUUUGGGCUUACAAUAAAUAUUAAAUGAAAGAUGAAUUUGUGCCACAUAUACAGAAGCAUUUCAUCAAAUCCCUUCAAGUUGUUCUGAAAUAUAUCAGCCAACAAGAUAAAGUAACAAAGCACAAUAACAUCUUAAAAAUAUAAUUCCAAUGCAAUAGGCGUUUGUCAGCAUAUCAAAUCCUAUACACUGUAGCAAUUGAGCUUUAAAAUUCUAGCAUUAGUUAGUAAGCACUUUUUACAACAAAAUAAAAAGAGAGUUUGUGCAACAUAUCUGGAAAUACAGUAGUUUGCAAAGUCUCUUAAAAUGGAGUCUCAUU